RNAcentral lists this ribosomal RNA (262 nucleotides) under uncultured bacterium. RNAcentral's name for it is "partial 16S ribosomal RNA". It matches the Rfam family "Bacterial small subunit ribosomal RNA", at positions 524 to 776 of the family's 1533-position model. The record is from RNAcentral.
UACGAAGGGGGGCUAGCGUUGCUCGGGAAUCACUGGGCGUAAAGCGCACGUAGGCGGACUCUUAAGUCGGGUGUGAAAGCCCUCAGCUCAACUGAGGAAGUGCGCCCGAAACUGCAGAGCUUGAGUGCCGGAGAGGGUGGCGGAAUUUCCCCCAAGUAGAGGUGAAAAUUCGUAGAUAUGGGGGAGGAACACCGGUGGCGAAGGCGGGCCACCCUGGACGGUAACUGACGCUGGAGACGCGAAAGCGUGGGGAGCAAACAGG